Long non-coding RNA from Anas platyrhynchos (mallard), 6149 nucleotides. RefSeq lists it as uncharacterized. Lineage: Eukaryota; Metazoa; Chordata; Aves; Anseriformes; Anatidae. The record is from RefSeq and is a predicted model, not a curated record.
GAAAUUAAUGGCCCUGACCAGCCUCACCUGGGGUCUCCACCCACACCCCUGGCUUGCCAUCAGCUCUGUCUUUUCUCCACAGGGGUGCCUGAGGGCUGGGGUUGCUUUCAGGGCCUGCUCUGCUCCCUGCCUGGCCAGGCUGUGCCCUGACAGCCCUGGGGAGCUCCUGGCUCCCUGACCUGUGAGGACAAGUGGCUGUGAGUGCCAGGGCCACACGUGAACCUGCUGGAACACACCGAUGAGUUUAGCUGCCUCCUCUUCAUCCUGGACGUGAUACGGUGCCUUGAAGCCGCUCUGGCGUGAGAAGAAGGCUGGGAACUCCCUCGACUCCCCAAAGGCAGCCACACAGACUCCCUGAGUCUCCUGCAGCCGGGAGCAGCCCGUGAUACCUACCAGAUAUUCCAGUGUCCUGCCAAUAUCAAGGAUAGACUUGACUCCUGCAGAUACAACAGCAACUGGAGUUCGUCCUAGCUCUGUCAAGUCAGCACUCACAUCCAGAGCUGUCAAGAGAGAAGCAGCUGUUGUUUGUGAUAGCGUUGUACACCAAGGUGACCUUAAAUGCCCUCUUAAAAAGCUGUAUCUGCCUGGGAUGCCAGGGCCUGCUUUUGCAACCAUUUUGAUCCACAGACAAACAUUACAGGUUUAGAUCAUGCUAUUAGAUGUUGCGAUUGUAAGAGAGAUUGAUAUAGGAAGAGAGACUGAAAACUAUGAAGUCACUUGGCCUAGGGCAGAGAUGCAGCCCUACACUGACUGUCUCACCUGUUUGUUCACCUCAGAAAGCAGCAUGCAAAAAUUUGGUUGAAAAGAAAGAAGAAGGUGUCAUAAAACAAGGACAGAGUUCAAGAAGAUGGAAUAUAAGAAGACUUUGAUUGUGGUGUUGACAUAGCUGGCAGAAAAGCACCACAGGAGCUCUGCUGACCUCAGGAAACCCCCUGGUCUGGAAUUUAUAUCACAUCUGAAAGAGACAGCAUUCAUCAGGGCGGUUUGCUUACACUAUGCUAGGAAUAUACAUGGCUAAAAAGAAAGUAUGUGCUUAGAGGUCACAAACUACGCUGCCAAGGCUGUGCCAUGUCCCCAUGUUUCCAGAGAGGAACGUGGACCAUGGCCUAAAUCUCUUUUGCGGUGAGACCCUCCUCCUCCUUAGCUGUCAGCAAGCCAAUAACAGCACCGUGCUUCACAGCCACUGUCAGGUUAUCCAGCGAGCACGAAGUGGGGAAAGUACAGUCAGCUCCUGCUGCACCAUCAAAUAAUAUCCAUAUAACCCUGUGCAAACAAAGGAUAAAGAGAAACUCCCCCACUCUUAUCUGGCCGGUGCUCAAGAGGAAUAUUUUGAAGCUUCUGGAAAGGAGAUACUGGAGAGAAAACAACCAGAGUAUGGUUGAGAAGAACAAUAACGUUACUCUGCUGAGCAGACAGUUACUGUAGGACAAACCGAGAAAAAGGAAGAAAGAUGGGAUUAGAUAAAACCACAGCAACAAGAAAAGUAGAAUGUAUCGACUUUCUUACUGUUCUCUCCUCCCCGAUGGACGCCUCCGAUGCCUCCUGUCACAAACACACAGAUUCCUGCCUUGUGUGCUGCAAUCAUUGUUCCAGACACGGUAGUGCCACCGGACAAGCCCUGUCAGGGGACAACCGGUCACAGUCAGCACCCAGCACGACCCAGAGAACACCGCAUGCAGGCAGCUGUGGUGGUGGUCUGACACACAGCAACAUCACACCAGGCUGCUGACACAGCUGGCAGGUGAAAUUCGGAUACAGAUAUUCCUAGGCAAAAAUGCAGAAGAAUGAUCAUCCCUGCUAUAUAAACUGCUCUUGUAAUAGCAAAGGCCUUCAUUCUCCAGGGCUCUCCAACCAGAAGGGUUCAUGGGCAGCCAGUGUCACCUCAAGCACUAACUUGGGGUGGCUUGUGUAUGAACUAUGUGACAUGAUGAUACCUUAUCCUGCCAAUAUGAAUGUUCUUAGCUUAGCCAGCCAAUCCAGAAUGGUCUGACUCCAGGUCUGCUAUUCCCUGACUAAUGUAUUUUGACUCUGGAUAGGAAUAUAUUUCAACUUACCAACAAGACACCAUGUUAUGUGGUGUCUUAAAGAGGUUUAGAGCUACCUGGUUUGAAACUGAAGAGCACCCUAUUGCUAUAAAGAAAACAUCAAAUAGGAAGCCUGCAUUACCAUACCUGGCUGAGGACAUAAGGAAGAUCUCUCCGAGACACUUUAACUACAUUUUUACUGCUUGCCAAGAACUGAAGCUCCUCAUCUGUGAGUCCCACGUGGAUUUGACCCCUUAAAAUACCUAUAGUGGCUGGAACUGCUCCAUUUGUCGUUACAAUUUUUUCUACCUCUCUGGCCAUGCUAGAAUAAGAUAGACAAGACAACGAUCACAGAAUUAGUGAGAAAAAUAAUCAGUUGAGAAAUCUGCAAUGUUUGAUGGCCAACAUUCCCAAUUUCCAGUUUUAUACAGUCUUUGGGAUUUCAGCAAAGUCCAGAUCCUCUUCUGUCUCUUGCUAAUGGCAGAAGUCUUAGCUCUGCACUGUAAAAUCAAUGCAAUCGAGAGCUCCUGUUUUCAGGACAGCAAUGUACAGGCUCUGUGCUUCAUUUCUGAGGCAGCAUCCAUAAAAUAGCCUGGUUUACGAGCAAACCUAUUAUUUGUACAAUACGCUACUGAAUAUUCUCCAAAUAGAGCCUUUCAGUAUCUAUUACUUGUAUUUCUGAGAACAUAAACCUUCAUAGAAACCUGAGAUACUUCAAGUCCUAUUCGAACAACCAGGCUGUAUUUUUCACAAUCUGAGCAGUCAGAUAUAAGGUAACAACAGUGCAGAAAAGCUGCAGCCUGAGAAUAUUCUAGAGUUUCAGACUAGGUUUUUUGAAGCUUUCCAGGUUUUAUAUUUGAUCAUCUGUAGACUACUGUCUUCUUUUAAGAGCAGCUUGUUUUCCCUUUCUGAGCUAUCUUUACAUACACUAGAUAAUCUUUAACUCUGAAACUACCUUCUCCAAAACCUUACUGAGCUUCCUUGUAAGAUGAAAUGCCAGGCAAACCAAUGGCAAGGUCAAUACUGAAACCUUCCUGUGCUUUCAGGAAGCUAGGAUGGAGAGGAGACUGAACGAAACACAAAUCUACAGGAUAUCAAUAAAUAACAGGUAGAGUUUUUUGUGGGCUUUUUUUUUUUUCCUUAUGCAGGGCAUAGGUUGACCAGUAGCUCUUGCAGCAGCUGCUCUGAGUGGCACCAAUGAGUAGAUUUCACUAUUGUGUUCUAGUCGUUUUUGUAUUAUAAAAGGUACACCUAAAGAAACCACAAAGUGUUUUCAGUGUCUAUACGAAAUAUGCAGCCACAAAGUGUGGUUUAUCAGUCUUAGAGCAAAUGAUGAUAUUUCCUGCUGCCAGAUUUUAAAGGAAGCCAGAAAUGUGAGGUGUUGAGUAAGGACGUGUGUUGUAUGGUUCUGCUCUCCUUAGAAGUCCAAAUACAACUGUUUUACACCAGAGCCCAUAUUCUGUAUCCCUAGCAACCUGACAUUUCCCUUCGGUUCCUUCUUAUAACUUCGUUGAGUGAGGAACAUAAAAUCCACAACCUCAGAUUCUGAGGAUAGGCCAUGCCAUGUGUAAUGAUGGUGCUUUCCAAGGCUACAACUGGUCUCCCCUCCAUCAGGGCUUCCUGUACGGAGGGCUGAAUCCUGAAAUAAGCACCUGGGGAUAAAUAUAGACAAGUCAGUUAUUUGCAUGGGUGUUUGCAGUAAACACUGAGCUAUUUUAUAAAGGCAAAUUGUCAUCAUCACGAUACAUUUAUUAUCCUUUUCAGCUAAUCUUUGGGGGAAUUCAGAAAUGACUCCAUGGAGACUAAAACUGCGUUUUAUGUGACUGCAAUAUUUGCAAAAACCAACCAAACAAAAAACAACGCUACGAUUAAUACAAAUAAUAAUCCUCAUCACCAUCACUCAGUGUUCCUCUCCCACCACUAUUGCAGCUGUGUUGUUAUUGGCUCCAGUAAUAUUACUUGAAAUGAACAUUACUGUGAAUGAACUAAGCUCUGCAAUAAUCAUACCCAAAGAAUAACGUGUUAAUGGAGUGGAAGCACCAAGGAUACCAUAAUAACCCAAUAUAUUAUAACACUAUUUUGCAUCAAAAUUUCUCCUAAUUUUAAUGUCUUUAUCAAACAACAGAAACUCCCUGUGCAUUUAGGACUUGAAGUAUCCUUCCAAAAGCUGAAAAUGCUGCUCUUUGCUUUUCUCCCACAAUGUUGCCAGCAAGGUUUCUGCUGCAUUCGGAUGAGGAAGGUGCUUUCUGCCCAGGGACUGUUUCAGAACACACUACUCACCAUGCAGAAAUCUUCUCACCUGGGUGGUCCUACAUGCCACAGUGGACACACAUUUUCCCAAUCUACAGGUUAUCUUUGUAAUCAUCUUGUGUGUAAGGAUGGUCCUGAGAGUAUAAAAGUCAGGUUAAAAAAUAAAAAAUAAAGAAGUAAUUAAGCAAUGGUGUGACAGUUUACCUAACAUUUCUUGCACUGAUUUUGGAAAGUGAACAAUCCUGGGCUUGCCCAGGAGAUUGUGUGGCGGUUCCUGGUGUUUCAAGCAUGAGCCCUGGUGUCAAAGCAAAAUGUUAAACUGUAGAAGUAGAGUUGUAGGAGUCCAUCUAGCCCAUUGCCAAUGCUAGGCUGAAAACAUGGCAGAGCAGAAGAAAGAAUAAGUAGUAACAAAUUGGAGAGACUUUAGAAGUAUGUAACAUUUUGAUUUCCAAAGCUACUUGUUCACAAUAAAUUGCAGGCUCAGCCACUGUCACCUUCAGCCUGAAAGAUUACAAGGAGAAACCUACAAGGAAAAUGCAGGCAGAAGAAUACUAUAAAGAGAAGAGCCUUUGCGAGUAUUUUGAGGGAAACAAGCAGUUCAGUAAAAUAAAGAAGCUAAGGACUGGAAAGCCAGAUUGUAACCACCAGGAGGAAAGAGCAGCUCUUCCCAGAGCCCAGAGUGCUUCAUGCAUGCUCAAGUUACAUCGUCUUUUUUAGUACAAAGUGUUGGAAGCAGAGACACAAUUCAGCCCCGGCAAGAACUCCAGAACUCCUCUUGUCUCUUAGCAACUCCUAUUCACUUUAAUUAAAUUCAUUGCAGAACAGAGAAAGAGGGGGAGAGAGUUGCAAAGGUUAAGAGGCUGGUCUGGUCUGGGCCUCAGGGCAGUUUCACUCAGUUCCUGGCUGCUUCACAUAUUUUUGCUGGGCAUUUGGCCAUAUCCCUCAAGCCUUUCUAUUUCUCACCCCUUAACUGGGAGGAAAAGAUUUAUCUCUUCGGUCCUUUGUGCCUAUUGUUAAUUCAGAUAGGAAAUUAGAGUAACAGUACUGCAUUCUUGCUACAUUUAGCAGAUAUCAGUGCAAUUUGUAGCACUACAGCUACACAGACACAUUAUAUCUGGGAAAAGUUUUUUUUUUUUUUCUUUUUUUUUUUUUUCUUUUUUUCUGUUCCUGGAAUCUGAAGACUUAGCCUAUAUAGGACAGUUUAGUCUGUGUAACAGGGAAAGAUAGACUGGUUCUGCUAGACCUCUAUUAAGCCACUGAGACAGAGAUUGCCAUGAAAUGCAAUACACACCUGAAUGAAACAAGGAGAUUUUUUUUUUCCAGUUUCCAAAUCCUUUUUAAGACCAAAAUCUCCACAAAGUUUACGAAAUCCUAUCAUGACACAAAGGUGGCAGAAGCUCCUAUUCAUGCUUACAAUCUCUCCUUGUGCAGUGCCAAAUUCAGCAGUCAACAGCCUGAAAAGUUCAUGCAAAUGCUCUGGGUUCCUUCUGUGUGUGCCUACACACCCCUUGCUCUCUGGGGCAAAGUCAGCUUUGGAAUAAAUUCAUUAAGCCAACAAGGUUACUACGGCUCGGAUCGGUUGGGCUGCUCGAGCUGUGCUCUGAAUUUUAACAACCCCCCGUAAUCUGAAGCACAACAGCCCGAAUGCCCAAGCCGAGGCGGCCUGCGGAUAAAACACAGCUGGUCACCACCUGACACUGACAUGAGUUCGCUGAUGUUCGCCAGAAAGUCAGCCAGCACUCGGCCCCAGCAGCCUGAAAGGUUUCUGCAGCUUGGCAAGCGGAGCAGCGAGACCUGCCCGGCCUUUCGCCUUGCAACAAAACUUUGCACGUUCCCGCUGCAAGUUCUGCACAGCUCUGGCACUCAGCUCGCCUC